UACAGAGGUCCCAAGCGUUGUUCGGAUUCACUGGGCGUAAAGGGUGCGUAGGUGGUCGGGUAAGUUUGAUGUGAAAUCUCCGGGCUUAACCCGGAAAAUGCAUUGAAUACUAUUCGGCUGGAGGGUUGGAGGGGGGACUGGAAUUCUCGGUGUAGCAGUGAAAUGCGUAGAUAUCGAGAGGAACACCAGUGGCGAAGGCGGGUUGCUGGGCCGACACUGACGCUGAUGCGCGAAAGCCAGGGGAGCGAACGGG
Molecule: ribosomal RNA, 253 nt
Filed under: uncultured prokaryote
Description: partial 16S ribosomal RNA
Rfam family: Bacterial small subunit ribosomal RNA
Source: RNAcentral